CAAUAGCGUAUAUUAAAGUUGUUGCAGUUAAAAAGCUCGUAGUUGGAUUUCUGGCUGGAGCGAUCGGUCCGCCCCGCAAGGGGUGUGUACUAGCGUCGUCUCCGACCAUCCUUGUGGGAACUGUGCGGCCGUUAACUCGGUUGUAUAUGGGAACACAUCGUUUACUGUGAAAAAAUUAGAGUGUUUAAAGCAGGCUUAAGCCGUUGAAUACAUUAGCAUGGAAUAAUAAGAUAAGACUUGGGUCAUUAUUUUGUGUUUGUCGGAGUCGAGGUAAUAGAUUAAUAAGGGAGUAGUUGGGGGUUAGGUUCUAUAUUUAAUUUAGUUCAGAGGU
Molecule: ribosomal RNA, 331 nt
Filed under: uncultured eukaryote
Lineage: Eukaryota
Description: bacterial SSU rRNA
Rfam family: Eukaryotic small subunit ribosomal RNA
Source: RNAcentral